This 253-nucleotide ribosomal RNA is filed under the name uncultured bacterium. RNAcentral's name for it is "partial 16S ribosomal RNA". It matches the Rfam family "Bacterial small subunit ribosomal RNA", at positions 524 to 776 of the family's 1533-position model. The record is from RNAcentral.
UACGUAGGGCGCAAGCGUUAUCCGGAAUUAUUGGGCGUAAAGAGCUCGUAGGCGGUUUGUCGCGUCUGCCGUGAAAGUCCGGGGCUCAACUCCGGAUCUGCGGUGGGUACGGGCAGACUAGAGUGAUGUAGGGGAGACUGGAAUUCCUGGUGUAGCGGUGAAAUGCGCAGAUAUCAGGAGGAACACCGAUGGCGAAGGCAGGUCUCUGGGCAUUAACUGACGCUCAUGCACGAAAGCGUGGGGAUCAAACAGG